Molecule: long non-coding RNA, 3062 nt
Filed under: Homo sapiens (human)
Lineage: Eukaryota; Metazoa; Chordata; Mammalia; Primates; Hominidae
Description: non-protein coding lnc-BLZF1-2:1
Source: RNAcentral
UCUGACGUCCCAGGGCUCAAGCGCGGAGGACAUGUGGAACUCCACUCCAAAAGCGGCGGCUUGCGGCGGAGCUCUCUCUAGUGAGGCGGCCAGCUGGCGUUCGUGGCACACUUGCUGUCGGCUCCGCUCAUCUGUUGGGAAUGCGUCCUGUGGGCCUAGUCCUCCGCUGGAAGAAACGCGCUGUUCUCCCCAACCACCGUUUAUCAUUCUUAUUCACCGUCUCCGGAAUGUCCAUUCAGUUUCCGCUCCUGAGAGACUUAGUGACUGAGGCCAGGCAAAGAUUUCACCUUGGGGAGGGGGAACGUUAAACCUUUCCUCCAGCAGCUUUCGUGUUUUAAAUUGUAUUCAUCCGCCAUGGAAAGACAUCAGAAGCCCAGGAUCUAAGAGACAGACUGAAAUGAAGAAAGUAGAUAAUAUUGUGAGAAUAAUGAACAAGCUGGUCACUGAACAGCAGAACCGUAAUGGAGUCCCAGUUAAAGGGUUUUAACUUUAUUUCGUCACUUUUUGCAAGCAUGAUACAAAGAAAACAAACACCUAACUACGCUACGGUUUAUAGUUAAAAGGAAGGUGGAAGAUCCUGAGUCAUUACAGCAAUCACAAAACAUGAUGGAUUUCUUCAUUUAAAAACACAAAAGAGGUCUUGGCAUAGUUUUCAAGGGCAAAGCAUGACAAGACUCUCCAGUGCUUUCUUUCAUCCCCCUCUGUGUGCCUUUUUCUGCCUGACUCACAGCCUGGCUCAAUCCUAAUCUUUCUACUGCAAAGAUGCAGCAUUUAAAGCAAUUUUUCCUGUGCAGUAUUUGUAGAAUGACAGAUCCUGCCAGAAGCUCUUGGAAACAUUUUGGAACUAUCUUGCUUUUCUGUAUGUUAUGAUCCAUCUAGCACCGUUUUCCUCCUGUGGUAGCAAAUGACACUUUUUUCAAGCAUCAGCAGCAGAAAUGAGUCUACCAGAUGGAAUAAGAUACUGGUAAAGGGAAAGAUUUGUUUCUAAGACUGCACAAAUGAAUGCACCCAAAUCUGUGAGUUGAUUAAUCUGUGAAGAAAUACAACUGGCAGUAUUUACAUAUCUCAAUGAGUCUCAAAGUGUGGUCGAGGAAGCCCUGGGGGUCCUUGGGACCCUUUCAGAGGUUCCACGAGCUCAAAUCUAUUUUCAUAACCAUGCUAAGUCUUUAUUUCCUUUUCCACUCCAGAGGCUAUAUAAUGUCUGAUGACAUCAUCGCUUUAUAGGAUGAGAGAAUACGUGCUUGUAUAUUCUUGUGUUUGUAAGACUUUCCAGGUUUAAUUUAUUACCAUAUGGCAAUUUUCAAUAAGUAUAACCCACAAAACCCAACAGAUUUUUGGGGCACCUCUAACAAGGGUCCUAAGACCAAAAUGUUUGAGGACUGCUAAUCGAUAUUAUUCAAUUGUCUAGUCCCCUAAACUCCAACCCUUCUUAUCAGGACUACAGAGAGAAAACAGGUGGUCUUCUUGACAAUCGCUUUGUAUUUACAUUCAGUGCUUUAGUAGAAGAGAAGAAAGAAAGAGAAAGCAAGCCAGAGAGGCCUCGGAAAGAGAAGCCUACUUAUUAAAAAUAGCUUUCUGGCUGGUCACGGUGGCUCACUCCUGUAAUCCCAGCACUUUGGGAGGCCGAGACGGGCGGAUCACUUGAGGUCAGGAGUCUCAGACCAGCCAGGCCAACAUGGCGAAAACACGUCUCUACUAAAAAUGCAAAAAUUAGCCGGGCAUAGUGGCAUGCACGCCUGUAGUCCCAGCUACUUGGGAGGCAGAGGCAGGAGAGCCACUUGAACCCAGGAGGCGGAGGUUGCAGUGAGCGGAGAGCGAGACUCGCGAGUACUCGUCUCAAAAAACAAAACAACAAUAACAAAAACAGCUUUCCAUCCCUUCCCUGAGGCUUGGGUACCUGAACCACGUUAAUCUGUAAAUCACUGCUUCUGUAACUUUUCCUUGGUAUAAAUCACAUAGGCAAUGAGGUUGGGUAUAAACAGUAAUUGUCCUUGAAUUGGGUAGAUGUUUUCUUAUUAUUUUUGUCUAAGAGGUCAUUGCGAUAGGCAGAAUUCUAAGAAUGAUCCCCAGUGACGCUUGCCCUUGUAUAACCCCCACCCAUUUGAGUGUGAGGUGAAACCUAUGAAUUUGAUGAGGCAAUACUCCUGUUAUUAUGUUACGUUUUAUGACAGAUGUGAGAUUUUCCAGGUGGGCCCAAUCUAAUCACAACAGCCCUUUAAAAGCAGAGAUUUUCCGUCUGCUAAGAGCAGAAGAGGAAGUCAGAGAGAUUUGAAGGAUGAGAAGAAUUUGACGUGCUGCUGUUGGAGGGGGCUACAUACCAAGAAAUGUGGGCAUCCUAUAGCAACUGAAACUGGCUCCUGGCUGACAGCCAGCAGAGAAUCAGGAUAUCAGUCCCAGAAUCAUAAGGAACUGAAUUCUGCUAAAAACCUAAAUGAGCUUGGAAGUGGGAUUCUUCCGAGAAGAGCCCAGCCGGGUCACCAUCUUAAUUUUGGUCUGCGAAACCGUAAGCAGAGAAUCCACUCAAGCCCACCUGGAUCUACAGAACUGUGAGCUAAGCUGAUGUGGUAAUAUUUUAAAGCCGCUAAAUUUUUGUUCAUUUGUUGUGCAGCAAUAGGAAUCUAACACAAAGGUAAAUAGAAUAUAUUUUUUAAAUCGAGGCAAUAUUCACAUAACAUAAAAUUAACCAUUAAUUAAGUGUACAACCCAGUGGCAUUACUACAUUCAUAAUAUUGUGAAACCAUCACUUCUGUCUAAUUCCAAGACAUUUUCACCACCCUACAGGAAACUGAUACCCAUUAAGCAGUCACUCCCUGUUCCCUCCUCCCCUUAGUCCCUGGCAAACACUAAUAUGCUUUCUGCCUAUGGAUUUGUCUAUUCUGGAGGUUACAUACAAUUUGUGACCUUUUGUGUCUAGCUUCUUUCACUUAGUUUAAUGUUUUAAAGAUUCAUCCACAUUGUAGCAUGUAUCAGUACUUCGUUCCUUUUUAUGGCUAAGUAAUAUGUGUAUAUACAACAUUUUGUUUAUCCAUCAAUUGAUAACAUUUGGAUUAUUUUUACUUUUG